This is an RNA transcript of Gopherus evgoodei (Goodes thornscrub tortoise), 1073 nucleotides long. It is a transcript of the gene named 5-azacytidine-induced protein 2-like, with no coding region annotated. The transcript has 3 exons. Lineage: Eukaryota; Metazoa; Chordata; Testudines; Testudinidae. The record is from RefSeq and is a predicted model, not a curated record.
AUUUAACUUUUUAAAAUGUCUUUCAGUGAAAAUGUGCAGCAAGCAUACUGGGAACUGAAGAGGGAAAUGUCUAACUUGCACCUGGUGACUGAAAUGCAAGCUGAGGUUCUACGAAAACUGAAAACCCCAACUGCAAUCAAGAAAGCUUCUACUAGUGCACCAGUACAAUGUGUUGAAGACGUGGAGAAGAACCUCACAAAGUUAUAUUUGACUUCUUCUGGGGCAGUCUACAAAAAACCCUCUCUUUCACAAAAUGACAAACUUCUCUGCAAUGCCAUAGCUUCCCCUCUCCCAAGAGAUGUAAAAAUCCUGUCUGAACAGGCAAAUCUCCAGUCAUGGACAGAUGAGAGACCCAUCCCGAUCGGCAGCACAAUCUGUCAUGAACAAAACUCGUAUGGAAAGAGCUCUCUGGAAGAUAAUUCCUGGGUGUUCCCAAGCCCUCCAAAACCUAGCGAGACAAUGUUUUGGGAAAUGAAAAAUAAAUCAUCUUUGUCCAACUACCCAAUAGAUUACCUGGAUCAGUGUAAUCAAAACUGCCUGCACAAGAGCUAAGUAGUUCCUGAGACAGACUGGGGCUGAUUCUGAAUAGGUACCUGAGUACUAGAAUUUUUUAAAGAGAAAAAUAGUUUAGCUGAAAUGUGGAGAUAACUACUUUUGUCUUGUUCCAAGAUUGGGGGAGGACCUGAUUACUCGUUGCUGUAAAUCAGGACUAAAUCAAAGGAGCUAUACUCGUAAUACAGGUGUAAGCAAAUCAGAAUCAGCCCCUAAAUACUUGGUCCUCUUAUACUGAACAUGACACACACUUGCAAAUAUUACACAGACUGAAUAUUGAACUCUUGGACUAAAUCAAAAAAAUCCAGCUCUGCAUUUCAGUUAGCUGUAUGUCCAUAACACUGCUCAUAAAGGCAUUUGGUAUCCUGUGUUCGAAACUUCUUGAAAGCUGUGAGCUUACCUCUGACAGAAGUGUCUUUCAGAUAUUAAACUCUCAGUUUCAGACUUUCGGCCCUAGAGUGACAUAAUUAAUCUUCAAAACAGCUUGGCUGCAGAUACUGACACCUAAUAGAGUACAAGAG